CGGCGGACGGGUGAGUAACGCGUGGGUAACCUGCCUCAUACAGGGGGAUAACAGUUAGAAAUGACUGCUAAUACCGCAUAAGCACACAGUACCGCAUGGUACAGUGUGAAAAACUCCGGUGGUAUGAGAUGGACCUGCGUCUGAUUAGCUAGUUGGCGGGGUAACGGCCCACCAAGGCGACGAUCAGUAGCCGACCUGAGAGGGUGACCGGCCACAUUGGGACUGAGACACGGCCCAAACUCCUACGGGAGGCAGCAUG
This 259-nucleotide ribosomal RNA is filed under the name uncultured bacterium. RNAcentral describes it as "partial 16S ribosomal RNA". It matches the Rfam family "Bacterial small subunit ribosomal RNA", at positions 96 to 353 of the family's 1533-position model. The record is from RNAcentral.